RNAcentral lists this ribosomal RNA (452 nucleotides) under uncultured bacterium. Its description in RNAcentral is "bacterial SSU rRNA". It matches the Rfam family "Bacterial small subunit ribosomal RNA", at positions 28 to 473 of the family's 1533-position model. The record is from RNAcentral.
GAUGAACGCUGGCGGCGUGCCUAAUACAUGCAAGUCGAACGCACAGCGAAAGGUGCUUGCACCUUUCAAGUGAGUGGCGAACGGGUGAGUAACACGUGGAUAACCUACCUCAAGGUUGGGGAUAACAUUUGGAAACAGAUGCUAAUACCGAAUAAAACUUAGUAUCGCAUGAUACCAGGUUAAAAGGCGCUACGGCGUCACCUAGAGAUGGAUCCGCGGUGCAUUAGUUAGUUGGUGGGUAAAGGCUUACCAGACAAUGAUGCAUAGCCGAGUUGAGAGACUGAUCGGCCACAUUGGGACUGAGACACGGGCCCAAACUCCUACGGGAGCUGCAGUAGGGAAUCUUCCACAAUGGGCGAAAGCCUGAUGGAGCAACGCCGCGUGUGUGAUGAAAGGGCUUUCGGGGUCGUAAAGCACUGUUGUAUGGAAGAACAGCUAGAGUAGGGAAUGAC